Molecule: long non-coding RNA, 748 nt
Organism: Astyanax mexicanus (Mexican tetra)
Lineage: Eukaryota; Metazoa; Chordata; Actinopteri; Characiformes; Acestrorhamphidae
Exons: 4
Source: RefSeq, a predicted model, not a curated record
UGAGCUCGACAAAUAAAAAUAGAUCUGCCUAAACUGAGGCUCCGCCCCUCGGAAGAACCAACCAAUCAGAGCUUAAAAAGGGCGUUGUGUGGCAACCAGCUGAGAAAGAGAGCAGCAACCAGCAAACAAAGGGAGUUAGCCAGCUAGAGAGCCGGAGGAGGAAGCAGAAGAUGGGGGGAUGGGAGGUGGUGGAGGAGGAGAGAAAACAGAGAGAGAGGGGGGAGGCUCAGCUGUUUUGCUGGUCAGGCAGACAGGGGGAGGAGGUGUUAGGGGUAUGAGUGGGGGUUUAAACGUGAUGUAUUAGCUAGCUAGCUGUGUUUAGAGACAGAGAAGUGCUGGAGAACAGGUGUGGAAGAACGCAGCAGCAGGCUAGCUAGCUAUAUGCUAUGCUGUGCUAAGAACAUGGCCGCGGAUUGUGACUCCGGGGCCCUGUGGCUCCACUUUUCUGGGUGACAAUGUGGUUUGAGGAGUUAAAUGGACGAACAACUUUGGAAAAUAAGGUGUCCCAAUAUCAUGCAAGCUGACCAAGUGACCUUGCAUAUUGUAAAGGUGUGGGCUUUCACAAACUGCUCCCUUGAGGUCAAGGAUGUUUCGGUUGCAGAAGGAUGACAUACCCAAUAUUAGACAGACCCCAGGGAAACAGAGCGAUCAGCGUGGCUGGAUUGGUGAGGCCUUGGGGGAUUCCGUCCUCUGCUCAGAGCGGUCCAGGUGUGUUUUUAUGUAAAAUGCUUGAGAACUACAUCACUGA